CCUACGGGAGGCUGCAGUGAGGAAUAUUGGUCAAUGGCCGGAAGGCUGAACCCGCCAAGCCGCGUGAAGGACGAAGGUGCCCAGCAUUGUAAACUUCUUUUGUCAAGGGACAAAAUCAGGCUCGAGAGCCUGACCGAGGGUCCUUGAAGAAAAAGCCUCGGCUCACUCCGUGCCAGCAGCCGCGGUAAUAAGGGGGAUGCGAGCGUUGUCCGGAUUUAUUGGGGUUAAAGGGUGCUUAGGCGGACUGUUACGUCAGCGGUAAACGCCCGGGGCUAAACCCCGGCGAGCCGUUGAAACUGGCUGUCUUGAGAUGUCGAGAGGUAUGCGGAAUGCGCAGUGUAGCGGUGAAAUGCUUAGAUAUUGCGCAGAACUCCGAUUGCGAAGGCAGCAUACCGGCGGCGAUCUGACGCUGAGGCACGAAAGCGUGGGUAUCGAACAGGAUUAGAUACCCUAGUAGUC
RNAcentral lists this ribosomal RNA (459 nucleotides) under uncultured bacterium. Its description in RNAcentral is "partial 16S ribosomal RNA". It matches the Rfam family "Bacterial small subunit ribosomal RNA", at positions 338 to 795 of the family's 1533-position model. The record is from RNAcentral.